GCUUUGGAAGGCGCACGGGGCGAAGAUGGCGGCGGAGCGACAGGAGGCGCUGAGGGAGUUCGUGGCGGUGACGGGCGCCGAGGAGGACCGGGCCCGCUUCUUUCUCGAGUCGGCCGGCUGGGACUUGCAGUGAUAAUAGAGUGACAUCCUUCAGAGACCUCAUUCAUGACCAAGAUGAAGAUGAGGAGGAGGAGGAAGGCCAGAGGUGAGUCUUCUAGAGGGGGUCAGGGGGGCAGUUCACAGGGAAGUCCAGGGUAAUGUGUAAAUCACCUAGAACAGGACCUGGUAAACAUGUUCGGUUAUUGUUAGCCAUUACUACUGUGGGCUGGUCUGUGUGGGUUAUAUCUUAGGAAGUCUGUUCUACUCCUUGUAGCUUAGAAGUGACCCCUGUUCCGUUACUUAAUGUAUUUAUUGAGGAAUAUUAGGGGAGGGAAACAAGGAAAAGAUCUA
Molecule: small RNA, 450 nt
Filed under: Pan troglodytes (chimpanzee)
Lineage: Eukaryota; Metazoa; Chordata; Mammalia; Primates; Hominidae
Description: retained intron
Source: RNAcentral